GACGAACGCUGGCGGCGUGCUUAAUACAUGCAAGUCGAACGCAGUGGGGACGGGUGAGUAACACGUGGCUAACCUCCCAUCAGAGGGGAUAACCCUUGGAAACAGGUGCUAAACCGAUAUUGAUGGAUGUACUCGCGGUGUAGUAGCUAGUUGGUGAGGUAACGGCUCACCAAGGCCACGAGGCAUAGCCGACCUGAGAGGGUGAUCGGCCACACUGGGACUGAGACACGGCCCAGACUCCUACGGGAGGCAGCAGUAGGGAAUCUUCGGCAAUGGACGAAAGUCUGACCGAGCAACGCCGCGUGAGUGAAGAAGGUUUUCGGAUCGUAAAGCUCUGUUGUUAGAGAAGCGGUAUCUAACCAGAAGGCCACGGCUAACUACGUGCCAGCAGCCGCGGUAAUUC
This 403-nucleotide ribosomal RNA is filed under the name uncultured bacterium. Its description in RNAcentral is "partial 16S ribosomal RNA". It matches the Rfam family "Bacterial small subunit ribosomal RNA", at positions 28 to 526 of the family's 1533-position model. The record is from RNAcentral.